RNAcentral lists this ribosomal RNA (263 nucleotides) under uncultured bacterium. RNAcentral's name for it is "partial small subunit ribosomal RNA". It matches the Rfam family "Bacterial small subunit ribosomal RNA", at positions 26 to 291 of the family's 1533-position model. The record is from RNAcentral.
AGGAUCAACGCUGGCGGCGUGCCUAAUGCAUGCAAGUCGCACGGGGGUCCCUUCGGGGAUCUCACGUGGCGGACGGGUGAGGAACACGUGGGCAAUCUGCCCCGAGGAGGGGGAUAGCUUCCGGAAACGGGAGGUAAUUCCGCAUGAGCUCGCUUUCCGCGUGGGGAGAGUGAGGAAAGGGUGCAAGCCCGCUUGGGAGGAGCCUGCGGCCGAUUAGCUAGUUGGUGGGGUAACGCUCACCAAGGCAACGAUCGGUAGCUGGU